GCGUUUUUUUUCUUAAUACUUUGUCUUUUCACAGAGAUAUUUCGACACGAUGUCGAAAUAAGGCGCCCCUGAGCCAGGACGGCGAAUGGGCGCCGGUCUCGUACGGUGCAAAUAAUAAAAUCAAAGUAUUUAGAAAAAC
This 139-nucleotide non-coding RNA is filed under the name uncultured Acetatifactor sp. The record is from RNAcentral. Lineage: Bacteria; Bacillati; Bacillota; Clostridia; Lachnospirales; Lachnospiraceae.